UAGGGAAUCUUCCACAAUGGACGAAAGUCUGAUGGAGCAACGCCGCGUGAGUGAAGAAGGGUUUCGGCUCGUAAAACACUGUUGUAAGAGAAGAAUGACAUUGAGAGUAACUGUUCAAUGUGUGACGGUAUCUUACCAGAAAGGAACGGCUAAAUACGUGCAAG
This 164-nucleotide ribosomal RNA is filed under the name uncultured bacterium. RNAcentral's name for it is "partial 16S rRNA". It matches the Rfam family "Bacterial small subunit ribosomal RNA", at positions 355 to 511 of the family's 1533-position model. The record is from RNAcentral.